CAACAACAAUUUCUUAGCUCUAUCAGGGAAGUGAGGACACAGAAAAAUGCUGCUUCCCAAAUUGGAGAGACAGACAGAUGCAGCUAGUAUGAACCUCCUCCACAGAGAGGAACCAAAAUGGCAAGUGGAUAUUCACAUUUCAAAUUGA
RNAcentral lists this long non-coding RNA (148 nucleotides) under Papio anubis (olive baboon). Its description in RNAcentral is "lncRNA (ENSPANG00000041283.1)". The record is from RNAcentral. Lineage: Eukaryota; Metazoa; Chordata; Mammalia; Primates; Cercopithecidae.